RNAcentral lists this ribosomal RNA (578 nucleotides) under Aioliops novaeguineae (New Guinea minidartfish). Its description in RNAcentral is "partial 16S ribosomal RNA". It matches the Rfam family "Bacterial large subunit ribosomal RNA", at positions 1812 to 2603 of the family's 2925-position model. Lineage: Eukaryota; Metazoa; Chordata; Actinopteri; Gobiiformes; Gobiidae. The record is from RNAcentral.
AACAUCGCCUCUUGCCCUCUAAGUAUAAGAGGUCCCGCCUGCCCUGUGACGAAAGUUUAACGGCCGCGGUAUUUUGACCGUGCGAAGGUAGCGUAAUCACUUGUCUUUUAAAUGAAGACCUGUAUGAAUGGCACAACGAGGGCUUAGCUGUCUCCUUUCUCCAGUCAAUGAAAUUGAUCUGCCCGUGCAGAAGCGGGCAUGCCACCAUAAGACGAGAAGACCCUAUGGAGCUUAAAACACCGGAAGACCUCAUGUUAAAACCCCCUAACAAAAGGGAAUAAACCAAGCGAUCUCUCUUCUAAUGUUUUUGGUUGGGGCGACCGCGGGGUAACACCAAACCCCCACGUGGAAAGGGGCUCCCCUUAAUCCCAGAGCCACCGCUCAAAUAAACAGAAAAUCUGACCAUCCGAUCCGGCAAUGCCGAUCAACGGACCCAGUUACCCUAGGGAUAACAGCGCAAUCCCCUUCUAGAGCCCAUAUCGACAAGGGGGUUUACGACCUCGAUGUUGGAUCAGGACUUCCUAAUGGUGCAGCCGCUAUUAAGGGUUCGUUUGUUCAACGAUUAAAGUCCUACGUGA